CAGCAGCCGCGGGAAUACGUAGGUGGCAAGCGUUGUCCGGAAUUAUUGGGCGUAAAGGGCUCGCAGGCGGUUUCUUAAGUCUGAUGUGAAAGCCCCCGGCUCAACCGGGGAGGGUCAUUGGAAACUGGGAGACUUGAGUGCAGAAGAGGAGAGUGGAAUUCCACGUGUAGCGGUGAAAUGCGUAGAGAUGUGGAGGAACACCAGUGGCGAAGGCGACUCUCUGGUCUGUAACUGACGCUGAGGAGCGAAAGCGUGGGGAGCGAACAGGAUUAGAGACCCCCGUAGUCCCUGUCUCUUAUAC
This 301-nucleotide ribosomal RNA is filed under the name uncultured bacterium. RNAcentral describes it as "partial 16S ribosomal RNA". It matches the Rfam family "Bacterial small subunit ribosomal RNA", at positions 509 to 807 of the family's 1533-position model. The record is from RNAcentral.